This 64-nucleotide transfer RNA is filed under the name Pyganodon grandis (giant floater mussel). Its description in RNAcentral is "tRNA-Pro". The record is from RNAcentral. Lineage: Eukaryota; Metazoa; Mollusca; Bivalvia; Unionida; Unionidae.
CAAAGAGUAGUCUAAUUUAGAAUAAAAGCUUUGGAAGCUUUAGGUUCACCCCGUGACUUUUUGA